Molecule: ribosomal RNA, 270 nt
Filed under: Triticum aestivum (bread wheat)
Lineage: Eukaryota; Viridiplantae; Streptophyta; Magnoliopsida; Poales; Poaceae
Description: partial small subunit ribosomal RNA
Source: RNAcentral
UUUUCUACUAUCAACCUCAAAAAACCCAACUCUGCCUUACGUAAAGUUGCCAGAGUACGAUUAACCUCUGGAUUUAAAAUCUCCGCUUAUAUACCUGGUAUUGGCCAUAAUUUACAAGAACAUUCUCACUACCAAAGAAAAGAUACAUCGGCGGAUCUAAUAGCCGGAGCAUCGACGAAUGGCUUGGGAGGCAAGCAAGAAAAACAAGAUUAUAUAAAAUAUGAAACUACAUUAUAUAAUGAAUCUAAUGAUAUUGAUUUGGUAUUAUGA